Molecule: ribosomal RNA, 208 nt
Filed under: uncultured bacterium
Lineage: Bacteria
Description: partial 16S ribosomal RNA
Rfam family: Bacterial small subunit ribosomal RNA
Source: RNAcentral
CGUGUAGGCGGCUUAGUAAGCGUAGGGUGAAAUCCCGGGGCUCAACCCCGGAACUGCUCUUCGAACUGCUGGGCUUGAGAUAGUUAGGGGCAGAUGGAAUUCCUGGUGUAGAGGUGAUAUUCACAGAUAUCAGGAGGAACACCCGUGGCGAAAGCGGUCUGCUGGAACUUUUCUGACGCUAAAGCGCGUAAAGCGUAGGUAGCAAACA